Molecule: ribosomal RNA, 398 nt
Filed under: uncultured bacterium
Lineage: Bacteria
Description: bacterial SSU rRNA
Rfam family: Bacterial small subunit ribosomal RNA
Source: RNAcentral
AUUGAACGCUGGCGGCAUGCUUUACACAUGCAAGUCGAACGGCAGCGCGGGGGCAACCCUGGCGGCGAGUGGCGAACGGGUGAGUAAUAUAUCGGAACGUACCCAGAAGUGGGGGAUAACGUAGCGAAAGUUACGCUAAUACCGCAUACGAUCUACGGAUGAAAGUGGGGGACCUUCGGGCCUCAUGCUUUUGGAGCGGCCGAUAUCUGAUUAGCUAGUUGGUGAGGUAAAGGCUCACCAAGGCGACGAUCAGUAGCUGGUCUGAGAGGACGACCAGCCACACUGGAACUGAGACACGGUCCAGACUCCUACGGGAGGCAGCAGUGGGGGAAUUUUGGACAAUGGGGGGCAACCCUGAUCCAGCAAUGCCGCGUGAGUGAAGAAGGCCUUCGGGUUGU